RNAcentral lists this ribosomal RNA (820 nucleotides) under Cadophora sp. Its description in RNAcentral is "partial large subunit ribosomal RNA". It matches the Rfam family "Eukaryotic large subunit ribosomal RNA", at positions 84 to 921 of the family's 3401-position model. Lineage: Eukaryota; Fungi; Ascomycota; Leotiomycetes; Helotiales; Ploettnerulaceae. The record is from RNAcentral.
UAACGGCGAGUGAAGCGGUAACAGCUCAAAUUUGAAAGCUAGCUCUUUUAGGGUUCGCAUUGUAAUUUGUAGAAGAUGCUUCGGGUGUGGCCCCGGUCUAAGUUCCUUGGAACAGGACGUCAUAGAGGGUGAGAAUCCCGUAUGUGACUGGGUGCUUUCGCUCAUGUGAAGCUCUUUCGACGAGUCGAGUUGUUUGGGAAUGCAGCUCAAAAUGGGUGGUAAAUUUCAUCUAAAGCUAAAUAUUGGCCAGAGACCGAUAGCGCACAAGUAGAGUGAUCGAAAGAUGAAAAGCACUUUGGAAAGAGAGUUAAACAGUACGUGAAAUUGUUGAAAGGGAAGCGCUUGCAACCAGACUUGCGCGCUGAUGAUCAUCCGGGCUUCUGUCCGGUGCACUCGUCUGCGCUCAGGCCAGCAUCGGUUUCGGUGGUGGGAUAAAGGCCUUGGGAAUGUAGCUUCUUUCGGGGAGUGUUAUAGCCCUCGGUGCAAUGCCGCCUACCGGGACCGAGGACCGCGCUUCGGCUAGGAUGCUGGCGUAAUGGUUGUAAGCGACCCGUCUUGAAACACGGACCAAGGAGUCUAACAUCUAUGCGAGUGUUUGGGUGUCAAACCCAUACGCGUAAUGAAAGUGAACGGAGGUGAGAACCCUUAAGGGUGCAUCAUCGACCGAUCCUGAUGUCUUCGGAUGGAUUUGAGUAAGAGCAUAGCUGUUGGGACCCGAAAGAUGGUGAACUAUGCGUGAAUAGGGUGAAGCCAGAGGAAACUCUGGUGGAGGCUCGCAGCGGUUCUGACGUGCAAAUCGAUCGUCAAAUUUGCGUAUAGG